Molecule: ribosomal RNA, 468 nt
Filed under: uncultured bacterium
Lineage: Bacteria
Description: partial 16S ribosomal RNA
Rfam family: Bacterial small subunit ribosomal RNA
Source: RNAcentral
GACGAACGCUGGCGGCGUGCUUAACACAUGCAAGUCGAACGGAAAGGCCCUGCUUUUGUGGGGUGCUCGAGUUGCGAACUGGUGAGUAACACUUGAGUAACCUGCCCUUGACUUUGGGAUAACUUCAUGCCACUGGGUCUCAUACCGGCUAGGAGCUCCUGCUGCUUGGUGGGGGUUGGUAGGUUUCGGCGGUUGGGCAUGUAAUCGCGUCUUAUCAGCUUGUUGGUGGGGUAGUGUCUUACCAAGGCUUUGACGGGUAGCCGGCCUGAGAGGGUGACCGGCCACAUUGGGACGGAGAUACGGCCCAGCCUCGUACGGGAGGCAGCAGUGGGGAAUAUUGCACAAUGGGCGGAAGCCUGAUGCAGCCACGCCGCGUGCGGGAUGACGGCCUUCGGGUUGUAUACCGCUUUCGCCUGUGCCGAAGCGUGAGUGACGGUAAUGGGUAAAGAAGCACCGGCUAACUACGUG